Molecule: ribosomal RNA, 253 nt
Filed under: uncultured bacterium
Lineage: Bacteria
Description: partial 16S ribosomal RNA
Rfam family: Bacterial small subunit ribosomal RNA
Source: RNAcentral
UACGUAGGGUGCGAGCGUUGUCCGGAAUUACUGGGCGUAAAGAGCUCGUAGGUGGUUUGUCGCGUUGUUCGUGAAAACUCACAGCUUAACUGUGGGCGUGCGGGCGAUACGGGCAGACUGGAGUACUGCAGGGGAGACUGGAAUUCCUGGUGUAGCGGUGGAAUGCGCAGAUAUCAGGAGGAACACCGGUGGCGAAGGCGGGUCUCUGGGCAGUAACUGACGCUGAGCCGCGAAAGCCAGGGGAGCGAACGGG